Long non-coding RNA from Lolium rigidum, 1416 nucleotides. RefSeq lists it as uncharacterized. The transcript has 8 exons. NCBI's taxonomy places the organism in Eukaryota, Viridiplantae, Streptophyta, Magnoliopsida, Poales, Poaceae. The record is from RefSeq and is a predicted model, not a curated record.
ACGAGCAGGGCCGCGCCUCGAGGUAUACGACGCGCCGACGCCGACAUCGCUGGUGCGGCGGAGAUCUCGCUGCCGAUCUAGGAUGUGCCCUGGGCGCACUUCCACCACAUCCCAGUACGCGCUGGAUGUGAACGUGGAGAGGGUGGAGGACAUGGUGACGCACCAGCGGCUGCUCGAGGAGGCCCGAUACCUAUAGCACCGGCUUUCCUUGGCGGUGGGCUUCGUUCAGAUUGCAGAGAUACUAUCCAAGCUACAAAUAAAGGAUGGAGGCCAAGAGAGAUUGUGAUGUAGGAUGGUUGCCAAAUAAGAAGGUUUACAAUGUGUUGCAGCAACAGUAGGUGGAACUAUUUAGCGGCUGUCAUUAGUGAGGUAAUCAUCAUUAUGCUCUUAUUCCCCCCUACAGAUGAAUACUGGAUAGAGUUUACUUUGUCUUCUGUUGCAACGCAAGUUUGUUAAAGAGGUCCUCUUCCAGCUCUAGACAAAUAUCUUUGGCAUGGUGCAAGGAUGGCCUCUACGCCUCACGACCUACCGCUUUCUUGGGGAAAAUGGAUUGAGCUUGAGAAAGGAAACAAAGAGCUUGUCUCAAGAAAGGGUUCUCUCUCAUAUUCUUAAUUAACCUGGUGGUGGAUAAUGGCCUACUGGUAUUUUGGUUUUAUGCCUGUGGGAUAUGGCAAGAGAUGAUGGUCUCAUGGAGCAUUGAUUUUACUUGAUGAGCCAUGCAGAGAGAGGCGGGCCACUAAGGGGGCUGACAGCGGCGGCCAUGGCGGAGUGGCAAUGGCAGAGUAGCCAAGAUGCAGCAGUCGAGUACCACAUUUAUACACAAGCAGAAGUCCUUAAUUUGACACACGAGAAGGUUAAGAAGACCUGCAAAUUAUGAUUAAAGUACAGUUUUAUAUCCCAGUUAAUUGACCAUGCUCUUUUCUGUUUUAUUUGCUGAUGCAACCUUUUUUUUUCAAGAAAACACAAAAGAGUUUGCGUUUCAUUUCAUUGAAAAGGAAGACAACAGGUUACAACCUCUAGAGAGGAGGGACACACACAAACACACACACACGACCGUCCUCACAAAGCGACUACAACUAGGUGAGGAGGUGCCUACGAUAAGUUUAGUCAAGAUAUCAAUGAUCUCCUAGAUUGUCGAUUGAACAUGCUCUCCCUUCUAUCACUCUUUUAUCAGCUGCAAGGUGCAAGUAAUCCAGUUUAACGCAGGCAUUACAUCCUUGCAUGCCGAGGGAGCAGAUGACAACGAGAGGAAGUAAAAAAGGAAAAAUGGAAGUGGAGCUGGCAAGUUACAUCCUUGUUUUUUUUUGUAUGUAUCGAUGAUGUAUUGUAUCAAGUCUUAACGUGUCCGAUACAAAUUUUCUUAUUAUACAAUAUGUAUUGUUCACAACUUGUCAACUUGCACAUAAGCAGUGUGGA